This 375-nucleotide ribosomal RNA is filed under the name uncultured organism. RNAcentral describes it as "partial 16S ribosomal RNA". It matches the Rfam family "Bacterial small subunit ribosomal RNA", at positions 527 to 896 of the family's 1533-position model. The record is from RNAcentral.
GUAGGUGGCAAGCGUUGUCCGGAAUUAUUGGGCGUAAAGCGCGCGCAGGCGGGUCCUUUAAGUCUGAUGUGAAAGCCCACGGGCUCAACCGUGGAGGGUCAUUGGAAACUGGGGGGACUUGAGUACAGAAGAGGAAAGCGGAAUUCCAAGUGUAGCGGUGAAAUGCGUAGAGAUUUGGAGGAACACCAGUGGCGAAGGCGGCUUUCUGGUCUGUAACUGACGCUGAGGCGCGAAAGCGUGGGGAGCAACCAGGAUUAGAUACCCUGGUAGUCCACGCCGUAAACGAUGAGUGCUAAGUGUUAGGGGGUUUCCGCCCCUUAGUGCUGCAGCUAACGCAUUAAGCACUCCGCCUGGGGAGUACGGCCGCAAAGGCUG